This 372-nucleotide long non-coding RNA is filed under the name Brassica napus (rape). Its description in RNAcentral is "long non-coding RNA (BNAP_LNC023983)". Lineage: Eukaryota; Viridiplantae; Streptophyta; Magnoliopsida; Brassicales; Brassicaceae. The record is from RNAcentral.
GAAUCUCCCUAGAUCCGAGAGAAAGAGGAAGUAUUCCAAUACAUAUGACCUCCCUUAAGAAAAAAGGAAAUAUUCUAUUAUCUAAGGAUAUAAUGAAUAUUUCCAAAUCCUAAGAAGGAAGCGCAACCUCCACCAUAAAUAUAGGUUUCUAAACCUAAAGAAGAGGGGGAAGACGCCCAUAACCAGAGCUCACCAAUUCUACAGCCGCCAAAGCAAGGUUUCGCACCUAGAAGACCAUCUUCAUCUACAGGCUUAUAACCGAUGAAUCCCUGCGAUUACUGUCAACUAGAUGAAGAUAUAUGCUCCCUGCAGCACAUCUACAACUCUACUUACUGGCUCGGGCCACGAUCUCCAGCUCCUCAGCAGGGUCCC